RNAcentral lists this long non-coding RNA (302 nucleotides) under Chlamydomonas reinhardtii. RNAcentral's name for it is "long non-coding RNA (CREI_LNC000811)". The record is from RNAcentral. Lineage: Eukaryota; Viridiplantae; Chlorophyta; Chlorophyceae; Chlamydomonadales; Chlamydomonadaceae.
CGAAGCAGGUGCUGGCGGCGAAGCUGGCCUACCACUUCAGCUUCCUCAACCCGUCGCCUGCGCAGCUGAAGGAGCUCACCGACCUGGUGGACCACUUUGCUGCGCGCUCCAUGCACGCUGAGGACGCCAGCCUGGUGUCGCACGGGAACCCGCUCCUGCUGCCAAAGCGGGAAACGGCAUGUCUGCCGUACAAGGACGGGGGUGUCAACCACGUCGACCUGCCUGCGUUCCUGUCUGCCCUGCAAGCUAAGACUUUCGCCCUCCUUGCCCAGCCAGGCCGGCAACCCUGGAAGAUGCUCACC